GAGAGAGUCAUUGAGCACCGCUUAAGAAGAAUGACAAGCGUGACCAGAAAUCAGUUUGGUUUCAUGCCUGGGAGGUCGACCAUGGAAGCCAUUUUCUUGGUACGACAACUUAUGGAGAGAUAUAGGGAGCAAAAGAAGGACUUGCAUAUGGUGUUCAUUGACUUGGAGAAGGCCUAUGAUAAGAUACCGCGGAAUGUCAUGUGGUGGGCCUUGGAGAAACACAAAGUUCCAGCAAAGUACAUUACCCUCAUCAAGGACAUGUACGAUAAUGUUGUGACAAGUGUUCGAACAAGUGAUGUCGACACCGAUGACUUCCCGAUUAAGAUAGGGCUGCAUCAGGGGUCAGCUUUGAGCCCUUAUCUUUUUGCAUUGGUGAUGGAUGAGGUCACAAGGGAUAUACAAGGAGAUAUCCCAUGGUGUAUGCUCUUUGCGGAUGAUGUGGUGCUAGUUGACGAUAGUCGGACAGGGGUAAAUAGGAAGUUAGAGUUAUGGAGACAAACCUUGGAAUCGAAAGGGUUUAGGCUUAGUAGAACUAAAACCGAGUACAUGAUGUGCGGUUUCAGUACUACUAGGUGUGAGGAGGAGGAGGUUAGCCUUGAUGGCCAGGUGGUACCUCGGAAGGACACCUUUCGGUAUUUAGGGUCAAUGUUGCAGGAGGAUGGGGGUAUUGAUGAAGAUGUGAACCAUCGA
RNAcentral lists this ribosomal RNA (690 nucleotides) under Triticum aestivum (bread wheat). Its description in RNAcentral is "partial small subunit ribosomal RNA". The record is from RNAcentral. Lineage: Eukaryota; Viridiplantae; Streptophyta; Magnoliopsida; Poales; Poaceae.